UCGUGACCUGACCAAAACAGACCGCGCACGCGUCAUCCAGCCUGCCGGCGACGGCACCGUUCGUUGCUUGGCCAAGUCCUCGACAACCUCCUCUCCUCGGAGUGGGGGCUCGGGGUAAAAGAACCCACGGCGCCAAGGGCGUCAAGGAACACUGUGCCUAGCCCGGGGACGUGGCUGGCUUGCUGGCCGCCCCCCGUGCUGCAAUGCUAUUUAAUCCACACGACUCUCGGCAACGGAUAUCUCGGCUCUCGCAUCGAUGAAGAACGUAGCGAAAUGCGAUACCUGGUGUGAAUUGCAGAAUCCCGCGAACCAUCGAGUCUUUGAACGCAAGUUGCGCCCGAGGCCAUUUGGCCGAGGGCACGCCUGCCUGGGCGUCACGCCAAACACGCUCCCACCCCCUCAUCGGGGAGCGGGAUGCGGCAAAUGUGGCCCCCCGUCACGCAAGUGGCGGUGGGCCGAAGAUAUGGCUGCCGGCGUAUCGUGCCGGACACAGCGCGUGGUGGGCGACCUCGCUUUACUUACCGCAGUGCAUCCGGUGCGUAGCCGACUUGAUGGCCUUGAAGGACCCUGUGAACGGAGCGGACGAUGCUUCGACC
RNAcentral lists this unclassified non-coding RNA (596 nucleotides) under Scolochloa festucacea. Its description in RNAcentral is "sequence contains ITS1, 5.8S rRNA gene, ITS2". The stretch from base 222 to 377 matches the Rfam family "5.8S ribosomal RNA". The record is from RNAcentral. Lineage: Eukaryota; Viridiplantae; Streptophyta; Magnoliopsida; Poales; Poaceae.